GUAGUAUCCUUAUUUCUUUAUCUUUUCUUUUCCUUUUUCUUUUUAUUUCUUUUGAGUUGGUAAGCAUGCUGGGGAUAAGGAUGCCACGUGCACCUUACCCCCAAGCAUGCUUAUCACCUUAAUACUUGUGCAUAGUUUAUAUAUAAUUCUUGAGCCUCUACGCAUAUAGUUCUUGAGCCGUACGUAGAGGAGGAGCUCAGGUGGUGUGGAGUUUCGUCGACGUCGCGCAGCGGUGCCGUUCGAGCGUGUGUUCGUCGUCGUAGCAUCGCGAGGGGGGCCGGGCGAGGGUCCGAUUCUGCCGUUUUUGUUGUCGCGCCGGAUUGUGAUUAGCGUUUGAGGUGGGUUACAUCGGUUUUACUCCUAAGUUCUUAUUGGUCGACAUGUAUAGAUCUUGAUUUCGGUCAUUAAUUUAGCUCAAAUUCAUGGACUAUAUGUAGAUUGUGAAAUCUGAAUUUUGGAGCAUAUUUUAUAAAUUAAGUAGAUCAUACAUAUUGGACUUGGAAAUUGAAUUAGGAGAAAACCUACGAUUUGGACCUGUCACCAGUUUUAACUACCUGAUUUAGCUCUAGGAGCCGUUAGAAAAUUGUACUGUCGCAGUUAUUCGAGACGAGUACUCCAGGUAGUUUAGAAUGUAUUUACACUCGUGCUCGUCCGCCGAGUGGAUUUUUACAGGGUCGUUCAGGUUGUUUCGGACUGUUGGGUGCCGUCAGAGUUGACGGUGGACCCGUAUCGCCUUUUUGGGCGUCAGAUUGUGCCGAGGGCACUUACCUGUUGGUUGUUAGACCAUUUUGAGUCGAUUACUUGACUUUGGCUAGUUGGAGCCUGUUUGAGCUCGACAGAGAUACGCUGCAUACUCGGUUGGGUAGCGCCCACGAGUGCCACUCCGGAGUCAGGCUUGUGCUUUCGCGUUGGUGUCGCUCAUGCCAGUUGGACUUGCUCUCCACGGACCAGUUGGUGUGGAGGUAGCUGGAUAGUCGCAACGGGGCAGGGACGGGUGUGUUCACAGUCCCAGGGACGGGUAUGUUUAUAGUCCCGAUUGGAUUGGGUCAGAUUGACAUUUUCUACAGUUGGUUAGUGUAGAGCAUGAUAGUGUAGUGAUUGAUAGCGGUAGAGCGUACUUCCUGCUUUUCCUACUAUUCUUGCUCCCUUCUGUAGACUUAGUGGGUGACCGAUGUUGUUUUGGGCGGUACCCACUGAGGACUACUUGUUUUUACAGUAGUUCUCACGCCCAGUUGUUACUCUUGUUUUGCAGAGCCAUAGGUUUCGGCUGCUGCGCCUUCCGCGGAUCAGGAUCGAGGCAAGGGCGUCGCGAGUUAGAGCCCUACCUGACGAGCAGAGUUAGAGGCACCCCUACUGCAGGUAGAUGUUUUGUUUCGAGUUUAUGUACAUAGUUUACCUAACUCGCCAGUGCGAGUAACUCUGUAUUUUGGAUUUGAGCUAUGUAUAUGAAACUCAAUUUGUUUAGCUUUUGUUUUCUCUAGCAGCUCUAUACUACUGUUUGUAGUAUUGUAUGUUUACAGGUACAGCUGUCGCUUCGUGUACAGAGAAAACUCCUUUGUAUACGGCGGGUUUGUCGGCGUGCCCGGGGAACGAGACAUCCGGGGCGUGACAAUAAUGAUGAAUAGACAGCGGCAAUUAAGAUGAUUUAAUUACUGCCGCACACGAGACAAAAGUAGAGAAUACGAUUAGGGCCGUAAAGAAGAGAAUAAACGGCUUAGAUUAAACCGUACAGAAGAUCGUGGCGCAGAAUACGUCAGAGAAUUUGAAUUUGAUUGGACCGGAAAAUACGCCUCGGAUUAAG
Molecule: long non-coding RNA, 1801 nt
Filed under: Ananas comosus (pineapple)
Lineage: Eukaryota; Viridiplantae; Streptophyta; Magnoliopsida; Poales; Bromeliaceae
Description: long non-coding RNA (ACOM_LNC014603)
Source: RNAcentral